Molecule: ribosomal RNA, 259 nt
Filed under: uncultured bacterium
Lineage: Bacteria
Description: partial 16S ribosomal RNA
Rfam family: Bacterial small subunit ribosomal RNA
Source: RNAcentral
AGAGUUUGAUCCUUACUCAGGAUGAACGCUAGCGGCAGGCUUAACACAUGCAAGUCGAGGGGCAGCGGGGUGUAGCAAUACACUGCCGGCGACCGGCGCACGGGUGCGUAACGCGUAUGCAACCUACCCAUAACAGGGGCAUAACACUGAGAAAUUGGUACUAAUUCCCCAUAACAUUCGAAGAGGCAUCUCUUUGGGUUGAAAACUCCGGUGGUUAUGGAUGGGCAUGCGUUGUAUUAGCUAGUUGGUGGGGUAACGG